This 5856-nucleotide unclassified non-coding RNA is filed under the name Diuraphis noxia (Russian wheat aphid). Its description in RNAcentral is "voltage-dependent calcium channel type D subunit alpha-1, transcript variant X2". The record is from RNAcentral. Lineage: Eukaryota; Metazoa; Arthropoda; Insecta; Hemiptera; Aphididae.
ACGUCGCGGCAGCUGAUAAAAUAUCAUAAUCAAAUAAUAUUUAAUACAUUUAGUUGUCGGGGGGGGGCCCCCGGGUAUUUCUGGUUUAGUUUUCAAACAGUUCAAACCUACGUUGGAUUUUCCCGGGCCCUGAACUACCUGCGGUGGUGGUUUCGUCUUUACUCACGGCCGUGGGCGAUGAGAUCAGUUUUUCCCGAGGUCGCGUUUUAAGAAUAUUAUAUAAUUCAUUCUCCCGUGACCCGGACGAUCUUCUCCUGUGGAAUAAUAUUGUCAUCGUCAGCGCCCGUUGGACGCGAUCGCGCGCGCGCACGUCACUCCUCCGUGGAACGCCGCCGCCGCCGCUGUGUACCCUCCACCUCCUUCGCCAUCGCAGUCGUCGUCGCCGUCGCACGCGCGCCGCGAUAUUACGUUGGACACUUGCCGCCGUACGACCGCCAGCGGCUGACGCCACUUCAGGACCGCCGGCUAGACGACGACGACGACGACGGUAGCUGCAAGCCGCUGCUCCGCCAACUCGCCGUUCCGAACAAGGGUAAAAUUGUGGAACAUGAUUUUAGUGGGGUAAUAUUCAUUACUUAUCUCUGUGUUGUUUGAAAAAAAACUAUGAGUGUUAUGAAUGACAACAAUGCCGAUCCAAAUGUGGUAUCAAAUAAUAAUAGUAGCAACAAUGCCACCACAAAUACCAAUAACAAUAACACAACCAACAACAACACCACCAAUAACAAUCCGGCGAACAAUAAUCAAACCAAACAGGUAACGAAAAGACCUGUUCGAAGACCUGGAAAACAGCUCCCUGACAGGCCACAAAGAGCGUUAUGCUGCCUAACUCUCAAAAAUCCUCUUCGGAAAUUAUGUAUUGGUGUAAUCGAAUGGAAACCAUUUGAAUAUUUAAUUUUAAUGACAAUUUUCGCUAAUUGCGUUGCUCUUGCAGUAUAUACACCAUAUCCAUGCAACGAUUCAAACACGGUGAAUGGCUAUUUAGAUAGAAUUGAACGAGUGUUUUUAGUUAUAUUCACUGUGGAAUGUAUAAUGAAGAUCAUAGCAUACGGGUUUGUUGCCCACCCAGGCGCAUAUUUAAGAAACGGCUGGAAUUUCUUGGAUUUCACGAUUGUUCUGAUGGGAUGCAUCAGUAUAAUCAACGGGUUCGAUGUAAAGGCGUUGCGUGCCUUUCGGGUCUUAAGACCACUGAGAUUAGUGUCAGGUGUACCAAGUUUGCAAGUCGUAUUAAAUUCAAUUUUACGAGCCAUGGUACCUUUAUUACACAUCGCGCUUUUAGUUAUAUUUGUUAUCAUCAUAUAUGCUAUCAUUGGAUUAGAGCUAUUCUCUGGGACUUUACAUACCACCUGCUAUGAUAAUGACACAAUGAUGGACAGCCCUCAUCCAUGCGAUGAAGGUAAUUAUGGAGAUAUUAGUGGUUUUAAUUGCGCUAGUCUUGAAGGGAAUUACACAUGUCGUGGUCCUUGGGACGGACCAAAUUCUGGAAUAACCAAUUUCGACAAUUUUGGCUUGUCUAUGUUAACAGUUUUCCAAUGUAUUACUCUUGAAGGAUGGACGGACGUUUUAUAUAGUAUUGAAGAUGCCUUAGGAAGUUCGUGGCAAUGGAUAUAUUUUGUUUCCAUGGUCAUUUUAGGAGCUUUUUUCGUAAUGAAUCUUAUUCUCGGUGUGUUAAGCGGAGAAUUUUCUAAAGAGAGAGAAAAGGCAAAAGCUAGAGGAGAUUUUCAAAAACUUCGUGAAAAGCAACAGCUUGAGGAAGACUUGAGAGGUUAUCUGGAUUGGAUAACGCAAGCAGAAGAUAUUGAACCUGACGCAGAUGAUAAAGAAUCUUCUAAUCAACAAGAUAAUAAUGCGAAUGAAAACAAAUCGACCAAUGUGGAACGGGAUGAAGUCGACUCUAGUAAAUCGUGGUGGAAAAAGAAGCGAAAAAACUUUGACAAGAUUAAUCGUAGGGCUAGACGGGCUUGUCGUAAAGCAGUAAAAUCACAAGCAUUUUAUUGGUUGAUUAUUAUUUUAGUAUUCCUUAACACUGGCGUUUUAGCAACGGAACAUUAUAAGCAACCAGCAUGGUUAGAUGAUUUUCAAGAAAUUACAAACGUCUUCUUCAUUACUCUUUUCACAUUAGAGAUGUUAUUAAAAAUGUAUAGUCUCGGAAUACAGGGAUAUUUUGUUUCGCUUUUUAAUCGUUUUGACUGUUUUGUUGUCAUCGGAAGUAUAACCGAAACGAUUUUAACGCGAACAGAAUUAAUGUUACCACUUGGAGUAUCAGUGUUACGUUGUGUACGACUACUCAGGGUCUUUAAAGUUACAAAGUACUGGAGGUCGCUUUCAAAUUUAGUAGCCUCGUUGCUCAAUUCGAUACAAUCCAUUGCUUCUUUGUUACUUCUACUGUUCCUUUUCAUCGUAAUAUUUGCAUUAUUAGGAAUGCAAGUAUUUGGUGGUAAAUUUAACUUUGAUGCCACCGAUUAUAAGCCACGUAGUAAUUUUGAUACGUUUUGGCAAAGUUUACUAACUGUGUUUCAAAUAUUGACUGGUGAGGAUUGGAAUGUCGUGAUGUACAAUGGAAUAAAAGCUUACAAUGGCGUAUCAUCGCCUGGUAUUUUAGCUUGCAUCUACUUCAUUAUAUUAUUUAUUUGCGGUAAUUACAUACUGCUAAAUGUUUUCUUGGCUAUCGCCGUAGAUAAUUUAGCCGACGCAGAGUCUUUAACCGCAAUAGAUAAAGAAGAUGAACAACCCGACAAACAACAAAAAUCUCGAAGUAAUAGUCAAUCGAAAGAAAGAGAUAACGAAUACCAAGGAGAAAAUUCUGAAGGUAUAUCUGUCGAGGAAGAACUUUCAGAUGAAAGUUCGUCAAGAAAAGACUACGAAAGCGACAGUAACAUCAAAAUCNAUUUAGAAGGAUUCGAUUUCGAACCAAAUGGAAAUCCAGAAAACGAAGAAAACGAAGAUGGUGUCCGUCCAAUGUCAGAGUUCAAUAAUGCAAAUAAAGGAAUGCCUAUUCCUCCAGCUUCUUCAUUUUUCAUAUUUUCACCGACCAGCAGGGUUCGAACGUUUUGUCAUUGGUUACAAAACCAUACAUACUUCAGUAAUUUUAUAUUAGUAUGCAUUAUGGUUUCUUCNGCGUUAUUAGCAGCAGAAGAUCCGUUAAAAGCAGAUUCAGAAAGAAAUAACGUUUUAAAAAAAUUCGACCAUUUCUUCACGGCAGUUUUCACUCUUGAAAUAAUUUUUAAAAUAAUCUCAUACGGAUUUGUUUUGCAUGAUGGAGCAUUCUGUCGAUCAUUCUUCAAUCUCUUGGAUCUUUUGGUCGUNACAGUNUCACUGUUGACAGUUAUCUCUAAAAUGGCAAGUACGCAAAAUUUUAGCGCGGGACCAAUGUCAUUAGUAAAAGUCUUGAGAGUCUUACGAGUACUCAGGCCUUUACGUGCUAUAAAUAGAGCAAAAGGACUGAAACAUGUAGUGCAGUGUGUCAUUGUUGCGGUCAAAACGAUCGGGAACAUAGUGCUGGUAACAUGUCUNCUUCAGUUCAUGUUCGCAGUAAUCGGAGUUCAAUUAUUUAAGGGGAAAUUUUUUUCGUGCAAUGAUCUAUCCAAAACUACAGAAUUUGAAUGCCAAGGCUUGUACCUAACGUUCGAUCAUGGAGAUGUCGAUACUCCUAAAAAGGAAGACAGGAAAUGGGAACGUAACACGUUUCAUUUUGAUGACGUAGCCAAAGCAAUGCUUACCCUCUUCACCGUAUCUACAUUUGAAGGAUGGCCUUCACUGUUGCAAAAGUCAAUAGAUUCCAAUGAGGAAGAAAAGGGCCCGAUACACAACUAUAGACCAAUCGUCGCCGCAUAUUAUAUCAUAUAUAUAAUCAUAAUAGCGUUUUUUAUGGUGAAUAUAUUUGUUGGUUUCGUCAUAGUAACGUUUCAAAAUGAAGGAGAACAGGAAUACAAGAAUUGCGAACUUGAUAAAAACCAAAGAAACUGUAUAGCAUUUGCACUGAAAGCCAAACCAGUCCGUCGCUACAUACCCAAGCACCGAUGUCAAUACAAAGUGUGGUGGUUUGUAACGUCACAACCAUUUGAAUAUACCAUAUUUGUGUUAAUCAUGGUAAACACCAUUACACUUGCAAUGAAAUUCUACAGACAACCACAAUAUUAUGACAGCAUUUUGGACAUGUUAAAUUUAUUUUUCACUGCAGUAUUCGCAUUGGAAUUCGUAUUCAAACUAGCGGCUUUUCGUUUUAAGAAUUAUUUUGGUGAUGCGUGGAAUGUAUUUGAUUUCAUAAUUGUACUGGGAAGUUUCAUAGAUAUCGUUGUAGAAAAUUUGUCGCCUCCUAAUAUUACUAAUGCUCCGAAGAAAAAAGAAAGAAAAUUGUCGAUUAACUUUUUUCGACUAUUUCGCGUUAUGCGUCUUGUUAAGUUAUUAAGUCGUGGCGAUGGAAUUAGAACAUUGUUGUGGACUUUCAUAAAAUCAUUUCAAGCUCUACCAUAUGUCGCACUUUUGAUUGUAAUGCUGUUCUUCAUUUACGCAGUCAUUGGGAUGCAGAUUUUCGGUAGAAUAGCAAAAGACACUGAAGAUUCUGCAAUCCAUAGAAACAAUCACUUCCAAACAUUUCCUCAAGCAGUUCUGAUUCUUUUCCGAUCUGCUACCGGUGAAGCUUGGCAAGAUAUUAUGAUGUCAUGUGCUUACCGACCGAACGAAGUUUUCUGCGAUGCCGGGGCUGAUAAAACUGAUGAUAAUUGCUGUGGCUCUGACUUUGCUUUUCCAUAUUUCAUUUCAUUUUAUGUGCUGUGCUCAUUUCUGAUCAUCAAUUUGUUUGUCGCAGUUAUAAUGGAUAACUUUGAUUAUUUAACAAGAGAUUGGUCUAUACUUGGACCCCAUCAUUUAGACGAAUUUAUUAGGUUGUGGAGUGAAUAUGACCCUGAUGCCAAGGGUAGAAUAAAGCAUCUGGACGUGGUAACUCUGCUGAGAAAGAUUUCGCCUCCUUUAGGAUUUGGUAAACUAUGUCCACAUCGGGUCGCGUGUAAGAGACUGGUUUCAAUGAACAUGCCCUUAAACAGUGAUGGGACAGUGUUGUUUAAUGCAACAUUGUUUGCUGUUGUCAGAACAUCAUUACAUAUUAAAUCUGAAGGAAACAUUGAUGAUGCUAACGCAGAAUUAAGAGCUGUCAUCAAAAAAAUUUGGAAACGAACCAGUCCAAAACUCUUAGACCAAGUCGUGCCACCUCCAGGAGUUGAUGACGAAGUCACUGUGGGUAAAUUCUACGCGACAUUCUUGAUCCAAGAUUAUUUCCGACGAUUUAAAAAACGAAAAGAACAAGAACUCAAAGAAGGCGAUAAAGAAGCUCGUAAUACUGUUACUCUUCAGGCUGGUUUACGAACUUUGCAUGANGCUGGUCCUGAAAUUAAACGGGCUAUAUCUGGGAACCUUGAUGAACUAAUCGACGAUAAUCCUGAACCAUCGCAUAGGAGAAACCAUACGCUCUUUGGCAGCGUUUGGUCAUCGAUGAGACGUAGGACGGGCAGUUUGAGACGGUCAUUUAGAGUAAGCAAUACUCAUUCGAAAAAGAAGCAUAAAAAUUACUUACAAGUAUCAGGAAGAAAUGUGACAAAGCUAUCUCCGUCGAGUUCAAUCGAAGUAGAUUAUUUACCGGGCAACUAUGCAAAACAGCAGCGAGAUACCAAAAUUCAAAAUGGAUCUGUUUCACUUCAUAGCCAAAACAAAUAAUGAGUAUGAUGUACAAAUGACGCAAGAUUAUAUAUGUAUGUAUAUUUCAGACGUUUACCCGUUCAAAUGCAUAAUUUUAAUGAUAGUAAAGGAGAAAUGAACGGAUCCACGCCCCUAACCCGGUUAUCACAUUCUGUACCUGGAAGUCCC